CCUACGGGGGGCAGCAGUAAGGAAUAUUGGGCAAUGGACGCAAGUCUGACCCAGCCAUGCCGCGUGGAGGAUGAAGGUCCUCUGGAUUGUAAACUUCUUUUAUCUGGGAAGAAAUCCACGAAUUCUUUUGUGGUUGACGGUACCAGAUGAAUAAGCACCGGCUAACUCCGUGCCAGCAGCCGCGGUAAUACGGAGGGUGCAAGCGUUAUCCGGAUUCACUGGGUUUAAAGGGUGCGUAGGCGGGUUGCCAAGUCCGUGGUGAAAUCUCUGAGCUUAACUCAGAAACUGCCGUGGAUACUGGUAAUCUUGAAUAUCGUGGAGGUAUGCGGAAUAUGUCAUGUAGCGGUGAAAUGCUUAGAUAUGACAUAGAACACCGAUAGCGGAGGCAGCAUACUACGCGAUCAUUGACGCUGAGGCACGAAAGCGUGGGGAGCAAACAG
This 440-nucleotide ribosomal RNA is filed under the name uncultured bacterium. RNAcentral's name for it is "bacterial SSU rRNA". It matches the Rfam family "Bacterial small subunit ribosomal RNA", at positions 338 to 775 of the family's 1533-position model. The record is from RNAcentral.